GCCUCUUUAGCUCAGCGGUAGAGCACUGGUCUCGUAAACCAGGGGUCGUGAGUUCAAUCCUCACAGGAGGCA
Molecule: transfer RNA, 72 nt
Filed under: Molorchus minor
Lineage: Eukaryota; Metazoa; Arthropoda; Insecta; Coleoptera; Cerambycidae
Also listed under: 1 other name
Description: tRNA-OTHER
Rfam family: tRNA
About the family: Transfer RNA (tRNA) molecules are approximately 80 nucleotides in length. Their secondary structure includes four short double-helical elements and three loops (D, anti-codon, and T loops). Further hydrogen bonds mediate the characteristic L-shaped molecular structure. tRNAs have two regions of fundamental functional importance: the anti-codon, which is responsible for specific mRNA codon recognition, and the 3' end, to which the tRNAs corresponding amino acid is attached (by aminoacyl-tRNA synthetases). tRNAs cope with the degeneracy of the genetic code in two manners: having more than one tRNA (with a specific anti-codon) for a particular amino acid; and 'wobble' base-pairing, i.e. permitting non-standard base-pairing at the 3rd anti-codon position.
Source: RNAcentral